GGAGUGUACAAAUACAAAAUAUCUAUAUAAGUGCUUAAUAAACUUCCAACUGGGGUGAGUGUGCAUGUAGAAAAUUCUUAUUUUAUUGUUACUAGGAAAAUACCUUUAUGACUUUUUCUUAAUUAUUUUCUGCUUUGUUAGCACCCUGUGGCAAGUUACAGAGGAACCAGAUAGAAAUCCUGCAAUUACAAAGGGAGGAUGGGAAUUUACAGUGAUAUGCAUUUAUAUAGGAGCACCGUGAGCUUAAAUUCUUGUGGAACUGUACUCUUAAAGGCAUGUUCUUGUGGAGGUUGUUACAGAUGCUCCAAUUAUGAGGAGGAGACGGCAAGAAUGUAAGUAUGUGCUCAGUGGGAGGUAAGUUUUAUAUUCCUAACUUGCGUAAACCCCCUUUGACCUAGAGCAGCUUGAUUUAAGGGCAAAUUAAAAGAUUUGGUCAGUACUUAUAGCAUUUGCUUAAGUUUUGAGCUUCAUUUUUAAAUUUAUUUUGUAAUUUAUAAAUUUUCCUGUUAAAAAUUUGAUAGAUGAACAAGUUUUUCUGUGAGCAACAGAACCUGUGAGUUUUAUUUUGUUUUAUUUUAGUGGGUUUAUAUUCCCUCUUCCUCUUUCUCUCCCAGCCCCCCUCUCAUCCACAGUACUUCUAAGCCCUCUUCACUUCCCAGGAUCCCUUACCUACAAUUUAUCUGAUUAUUGGUUGUAGUCCCUGCAGUGCCAGCUACUCAUCUGCAUUCUGGUGAACUGCGCAAAAGGAGCAGAUAUGUUGUUGAAGCUCUGUGUGUACAUUUAAUUUGCAGUCUAUAAAGACAGGUGGAAUACCUGAAGUGCAGCCACAGCUCUUAUCUGUGAAAGAAGACUUGUUCCUGUUUUACCAACUGUUGGUUCUCAUAAAGCUGUAGGAAUGUAGUGGCUGUGAAACUUCUCCACUCUGUUAAAUCUUUCAUACCUUUUGUAUGUCAUCCAGAUGGACAGACAGUACAACUAUAUGCCCAUUCAGGGAAUGGCUAAACAUUGCAACGGGACUGUCAUUCUCACAGUUGCAUGAAAGUAAAGAUCUGAAUUAAAACUAACAUGCUUAGUUUUACUGCAGUUUAUAUGUAAACCGUAUUUUAAAAUAGCUCAGUGGAAAUAAUGAGAAGAUUAUUUUUAUAAUUAUCUAGAUUAGUAGUGUCAUGCUUUGAAUAGGAAAGAUUACCAUUUUGAAUCUAGAAGAUGUUCUGAAACAAGUUGAAUUUAUUCAAAUUAGCUUUAUUCACUGUGAACUUUUGGUUAAUUUAAUUUUGCUUAAUCUAAUUUUGUACAAUGCUAUGUAGCAUUCUGCUAACUUUUAAAUAUUUACGCCUUUUCAGAAAGAAAUUCAUAUAUAUAUAUUUGAUCAAUACCAGGGUAUAAAGUAUUUAAAACUUCUCUUAUUGAUCUGUAGUUCCCAUUAAAUUUGUAGUUACAUAAUGUUUUUGAAGUUAUCCUUAAUUUUGGAACUAAUAGUGCAGAGAAACAGAGCUAGUUAAAUUUUUUCAAGUGGAGUUUUAGAACCCCUAUACAUUUUUUUAGCCUUCUCUAUGAAGAAAUGUCAGUUUCGCUAGAUAUUGAGCGUGUUCACUGAAUCCUAAUGCAGAUGGCAGCCCUUCAAAAGCUGAAGUUCAGCAAGUGGAUACAUUAGUUAGCAGUGAAGAAAAACAGAUGGUAAAAAUAAGGAUGAGCAAAUGCCAGACUCUAAUCAAGAUAAGAGGAAAAGGACAGUUUUUUUAAAACUUCUACUGUUACAUUAAUUAAUAUUUACUCUACAUGUGUGUUUAUAACUUUAAUAGCCAUGUUCAGCGCAUUUGCAGAGUGUGAGGAUAGCUUUCAGUCUAGACGGGCUGGGGAAGAAUGUUCCUAAUUUUUGCAAAGAAAACUGUCCAGAUUUAUUUAAAGUUACAAUGUUGCUAUAGCCAGAUACUUUAGAACAUAAACAAGGCAAGAUUCAAAGUAGGAGUUUGUACUGUAAGUAUCACUGGGUGGAGGGGCACAAAGAAUGUUUAGGCAUGUAAGCCACUCUUCCGUGGCAGGAAAAAAUAGAGGUAGUUGCAUGCCAGACUUUUUGUUCAGGGCACACAAAGAAAUUCAAAAGAAAUAAUGAUUAAAGGACUAGAUAGACAAAUCAAUCCAAAAUCUGUUUGUUUGAACCACAUCUAAAAUACAUUACUAAUGCAUAUUUUCUUAAAAACAAAUACAGAACUAAAUGUAAAAAUGAGUGAAAACCAUUUAAAUGAAGAAACAUCGAAAGUUACCACUUGGCUGCAGGCUUAAAGUCGAAGGAGAAAUGAUGGUUCAGUCUAAAUACAUUAUAAUUAUUUUCAUUCAGAAUAUUUCUGAUCAGAAAAAAUAUUGUGCUUCAUGACUGAAUGAAAUUUGUGAUAUUUAGAUUCAAUUUUUAUUAUAUUUCUUAAAGAUACCAUACUUUCAUCAUCAGGAUGUAUUUCUGGUGUGUUUAAAAAAAAUUCUAAGAAAAGAACACUUUUGAAAUAAAGUACUGGAAAACUAUUAGCA
Long non-coding RNA from Struthio camelus australis, 2523 nucleotides. Lineage: Eukaryota; Metazoa; Chordata; Aves; Struthioniformes; Struthionidae. The record is from Ensembl.